AUGAAAAAGGGACCGAGGUGGAAGGAGCAAUCAUGGAGAGAGAGGACUCAUGAAUAGGCUUGGACGAGGAAGAAGAAGAAAAAUAGAUGAGAAAGAAGGAGAGGGAGAAGAAUGGGUCAUCGAUGAGGAAGAGAGAGGAUGAGGGCUCAUGGGAGGGCUUGAAGGAGAAGGAUGAUAAGAAGGAAGGGGAGGAGGGGACAGAGGAGUAGAAAGGUGGGACAUCGAUGAUGGAGAAGAGGAGCAAUCAGAGAUGAGGGAGGAGG
This 263-nucleotide long non-coding RNA is filed under the name Elaeis guineensis (African oil palm). RNAcentral describes it as "long non-coding RNA (EGUI_LNC008544)". The record is from RNAcentral. Lineage: Eukaryota; Viridiplantae; Streptophyta; Magnoliopsida; Arecales; Arecaceae.